This 77-nucleotide transfer RNA is filed under the name Pseudomonadales bacterium. RNAcentral describes it as "tRNA-Arg". It matches the Rfam family "tRNA". Rfam says of the family: Transfer RNA (tRNA) molecules are approximately 80 nucleotides in length. Their secondary structure includes four short double-helical elements and three loops (D, anti-codon, and T loops). RNAcentral also lists the same sequence under 1 other name. The record is from RNAcentral. Lineage: Bacteria; Pseudomonadati; Pseudomonadota; Gammaproteobacteria; Pseudomonadales.
CCGCCCAUAGCUCAGCUGGAUAGAGCACCAGGCUUCGAACCUGGGUGUCGGGGGUUCGAAUCCCUCUGGGCGGGCCA